GUGACGGCAACGGCAACAGGUCCCUACACGCGGACAACGACAACACCUUCCCUAACCCGGCGACGGCAACGGCGCUACAUGUAGGGCUGGGCGUUCGAGCGGGUAAAAAAAUAAACAUGGGCUAAUCCGGGUAAAUAUUUUCUUCAACUUGUCAUACAGUGUUAUUUUCCCAAAUACUUUUCAUUAAAAAGGAAAAGUAUUGAAAUAUGAUGUAAUAUGGGUGUAUACAAGUAUAUCACACUGUAUAUCAGUGUAUACAGGCAGAGCUAGUUAAGUGAGUUCUUAGGUUGAUAAUUAGCUUGUGAUUAGUUUUAAUGAUUAGAUGACAUCUGUCAUUAGCUAUAACUGAAUUCAGUUACAUAUGCGCAUUAUAUAAGUGCAUGUGUGCUAUGUAAUUAUGGCUCGAUCAAUCAAUAAAAAAUAUCUUCUUCUUCCCUCUU
This is a long non-coding RNA of Lycium ferocissimum, 440 nucleotides long. RefSeq lists it as uncharacterized. The record is from RefSeq and is a predicted model, not a curated record. NCBI's taxonomy places the organism in Eukaryota, Viridiplantae, Streptophyta, Magnoliopsida, Solanales, Solanaceae. The transcript has 2 exons.